Molecule: ribosomal RNA, 252 nt
Filed under: uncultured bacterium
Lineage: Bacteria
Description: partial 16S ribosomal RNA
Rfam family: Bacterial small subunit ribosomal RNA
Source: RNAcentral
UACGUAGGGGGCAAGCGUUGUCCGGAAUUAUUGGGCGUAAAGCGCGCGCAGGCGGUUAUUUAAGUCUGGUGUUUAAACCUUGGGCUCAACCUGAGGUCGCACUGGAAACUGGGUGACUUGAGUACAGAAGAGGAAAGUGGAAUUCCACGUGUAGCGGUGAAAUGCGUAGAUAUGUGGAGGAACACCAGUGGCGAAGGCGACUUUCUGGGCUGUAACUGACGCUGAGGCGCGAAAGCGUGGGGAGCAAACAGG